GGGUUGUGAGGUUAAGCGACUAAGCGUACACGGUGGAUGCCCUGGCAGUCAGAGGCGAUGAAGGACGUGCUAAUCUGCGAUAAGCGUCGGUAAGGUGAUAUGAACCGUUAUAACCGGCGAUUUCCGAAUGGGGAAACCCAGUGUGUUUCGACACACUAUCAUUAACUGAAUCCAUAGGUUAAUGAGGCGAACCGGGGGAACUGAAACAUCUAAGUACCCCGAGGAAAAGAAAUCAACCGAGAUUCCCCCAGUAGCGGCGAGCGAACGGGGAGGAGCCCAGAGUCUGAAUCAGUGUGUGUGUUAGUGGAAGCGUCUGGAAAGGCGCGCGAUACAGGGUGACAGCCCCGUACACAAAAAUGCACAUAUUGUGAGCUCGAUGAGUAGGGCGGGACACGUGGUAUCCUGUCUGAAUAUGGGGGGACCAUCCUCCAAGGCUAAAUACUCCUGACUGACCGAUAGUGAACCAGUACCGUGAGGGAAAGGCGAAAAGAACCCCGGCGAGGGGAGUGAAAAAGAACCUGAAACCGUGUACGUACAAGCAGUGGGAGCCUCUUUUAUGGGGUGACUGCGUACCUUUUGUAUAAUGGGUCAGCGACUUAUAUUCUGUAGCAAGGUUAACCGAAUAGGGGAGCCGAAGGGAAACCGAGUCUUAACUGGGCGUUAAGUUGCAGGGUAUAGACCCGAAACCCGGUGAUCUAGCCAUGGGCAGGUUGAAGGUUGGGUAACACUAACUGGAGGACCGAACCGACUAAUGUUGAAAAAUUAGCGGAUGACUUGUGGCUGGGGGUGAAAGGCCAAUCAAACCGGGAGAUAGCUGGUUCUCCCCGAAAGCUAUUUAGGUAGCGCCUCGUGAAUUCAUCUCCGGGGGUAGAGCACUGUUUCGGCAAGGGGGUCAUCCCGACUUACCAACCCGAUGCAAACUGCGAAUACCGGAGAAUGUUAUCACGGGAGACACACGGCGGGUGCUAACGUCCGUCGUGAAGAGGGAAACAACCCAGACCGCCAGCUAAGGUCCCAAAGUCAUGGUUAAGUGGGAAACGAUGUGGGAAGGCCCAGACAGCCAGGAUGUUGGCUUAGAAGCAGCCAUCAUUUAAAGAAAGCGUAAUAGCUCACUGGUCGAGUCGGCCUGCGCGGAAGAUGUAACGGGGCUAAACCAUGCACCGAAGCUGCGGCAGCGACGCUUAUGCGUUGUUGGGUAGGGGAGCGUUCUGUAAGCCUGUGAAGGUGUGCUGUGAGGCAUGCUGGAGGUAUCAGAAGUGCGAAUGCUGACAUAAGUAACGAUAAAGCGGGUGAAAAGCCCGCUCGCCGGAAGACCAAGGGUUCCUGUCCAACGUUAAUCGGGGCAGGGUGAGUCGACCCCUAAGGCGAGGCCGAAAGGCGUAGUCGAUGGGAAACAGGUUAAUAUUCCUGUACUUGGUGUUACUGCGAAGGGGGGACGGAGAAGGCUAUGUUGGCCGGGCGACGGUUGUCCCGGUUUAAGCGUGUAGGCUGGUUUUCCAGGCAAAUCCGGAAAAUCAAGGCUGAGGCGUGAUGACGAGGCACUACGGUGCUGAAGCAACAAAUGCCCUGCUUCCAGGAAAAGCCUCUAAGCAUCAGGUAACAUCAAAUCGUACCCCAAACCGACACAGGUGGUCAGGUAGAGAAUACCAAGGCGCUUGAGAGAACUCGGGUGAAGGAACUAGGCAAAAUGGUGCCGUAACUUCGGGAGAAGGCACGCUGAUAUGUAGGUGAAGUCCCUUGCGGAUGGAGCUGAAAUCAGUCGAAGAUACCAGCUGGCUGCAACUGUUUAUUAAAAACACAGCACUGUGCAAACACGAAAGUGGACGUAUACGGUGUGACGCCUGCCCGGUGCCGGAAGGUUAAUUGAUGGGGUCAGCGCAAGCGAAGCUCUUGAUCGAAGCCCCGGUAAACGGCGGCCGUAACUAUAACGGUCCUAAGGUAGCGAAAUUCCUUGUCGGGUAAGUUCCGACCUGCACGAAUGGCGUAAUGAUGGCCAGGCUGUCUCCACCCGAGACUCAGUGAAAUUGAACUCGCUGUGAAGAUGCAGUGUACCCGCGGCAAGACGGAAAGACCCCGUGAACCUUUACUAUAGCUUGACACUGAACAUUGAGCCUUGAUGUGUAGGAUAGGUGGGAGGCUUUGAAGUGUGGACGCCAGUCUGCAUGGAGCCGACCUUGAAAUACCACCCUUUAAUGUUUGAUGUUCUAACGUUGACCCGUAAUCCGGGUUGCGGACAGUGUCUGGUGGGUAGUUUGACUGGGGCGGUCUCCUCCUAAAGAGUAACGGAGGAGCACGAAGGUUGGCUAAUCCUGGUCGGACAUCAGGAGGUUAGUGCAAUGGCAUAAGCCAGCUUGACUGCGAGCGUGACGGCGCGAGCAGGUGCGAAAGCAGGUCAUAGUGAUCCGGUGGUUCUGAAUGGAAGGGCCAUCGCUCAACGGAUAAAAGGUACUCCGGGGAUAACAGGCUGAUACCGCCCAAGAGUUCAUAUCGACGGCGGUGUUUGGCACCUCGAUGUCGGCUCAUCACAUCCUGGGGCUGAAGUAGGUCCCAAGGGUAUGGCUGUUCGCCAUUUAAAGUGGUACGCGAGCUGGGUUUAGAACGUCGUGAGACAGUUCGGUCCCUAUCUGCCGUGGGCGCUGGAGAACUGAGGGGGGCUGCUCCUAGUACGAGAGGACCGGAGUGGACGCAUCACUGGUGUUCGGGUUGUCAUGCCAAUGGCACUGCCCGGUAGCUAAAUGCGGAAGAGAUAAGUGCUGAAAGCAUCUAAGCACGAAACUUGCCCCGAGAUGAGUUCUCCCUGACCCUUUAAGGGUCCUGAAGGAACGUUGAAGACGACGACGUUGAUAGGCCGGGUGUGUAAGCGCAGCGAUGCGUUGAGCUAACCGGUACUAAUGAACCGUGAGGCUUAACCUUACAACGCCGAAGGUGUUU
This 2931-nucleotide ribosomal RNA is filed under the name Escherichia coli. Its description in RNAcentral is "bacterial LSU rRNA". It matches the Rfam family "Bacterial large subunit ribosomal RNA". Lineage: Bacteria; Pseudomonadati; Pseudomonadota; Gammaproteobacteria; Enterobacterales; Enterobacteriaceae. The record is from RNAcentral.